GAAUCCUGGACAAAGAGACUUAUGGAGCAGGUGUGAACCCAGUCUGCAUACUGGAGCCACAUGCAGCUUAACUGGCCAUAACCCCUCAACCAGUAAAUGUUUAAAGACACAAAUCUCAAGCCCUCUCAGUCUCCACUCUUCAAAAGUCCGUCCUUUCCUGACUUUACGUGGCAUGCAGAAAGACAAUCUGCCUUGCAGCAAGUUUAUGGAUAACACGGAGUUCCCCUGCAAUGAAUAUGUGAACCCUCUGUUCUUCAGGAUAGCACUUGGGAUGAUGUGGAGGUAAACUCGACUGAGCAAGU
This 302-nucleotide long non-coding RNA is filed under the name Homo sapiens (human). RNAcentral's name for it is "HSALNT0147700". The record is from RNAcentral. Lineage: Eukaryota; Metazoa; Chordata; Mammalia; Primates; Hominidae.